Long non-coding RNA from Oncorhynchus masou masou (cherry salmon), 5147 nucleotides. RefSeq lists it as uncharacterized. NCBI's taxonomy places the organism in Eukaryota, Metazoa, Chordata, Actinopteri, Salmoniformes, Salmonidae. The record is from RefSeq and is a predicted model, not a curated record. The transcript has 2 exons.
UGUAAAGAAAUGUUAAUUCUUAUGCAGGUGACCAACUUACUGCUAUUGCCUUGCUGACAACACAUAGCAACGUAUUUUCACAGACUCACUUAAAUCAUCCACAACACUGUCAAAAUAGGAUACAUCCUAGCCACAGGUGCUAGCCUUCAGUUCGGCCACAACAUCCAGUGAGGACACGAACGCACACACAUUACACACUAACUACCGAGGACAUACAGAUAAGACUCCUACACACAUUGGCAGGGAGAAACAGAAUAGGGAGAGACAACCUUGACUUGCAGAGACAAGCACACACACAUAAUCUCCCUCUUAGCUGAACAUUGUGUGACGGGGAACGGCACGACGAGACUCAGAAGGAUGACGCACGGCUCAACAGGACCAAUCCAAGAAGACAACACCUCAACUGUGACCAACCAGAACUUCCAGACUCAACCUACUUUCUGUACUGUAUAUAACAUGCUUGCACUCUGUUAUCGGGGCUUCUUUCUGAUGGUUCCUUAGGAGCCGAAUGAACGGGCCCGUAUACGCUGUACCAGAUAUCUUUACUCUGAAUAAACUGCCACAUGUUAUACCUUUAUCUCCUCGUCCGAAUCGAUCCUUGACCGACUCGCCUACCUGUGUCUCUCACUUUUAUCAACAGAAUCUUGGUAGCAGAGGAUGGUUUACUAAAGACCCAAAAUCAGGAGAUUGUCGUGAGAGUGCGGAGGCGAAUGGUGAAAGGACGAUUCAAGGAGGACAGGGGACCUUGACCGACUCGCCUACCUGUGUCUCUCACUUUUAUCAACAGAAUCUUGGUAGCAGAGGAUGGUUUACUAAAGACCCAAAAUCAGGAGAUUGUCGUGAGAGUGCGGGGCGAAUUGGUGAAAGGACGAUUCAAGGAGGACAGGGGAAGUGAUUCGGGGGAGGACAUCAAUUCUUCUCAACUCGGGAAACUGAUCUCUGGUCGACCACUAAAAAGCUCUCUCCAAACAGAUACACCGUGCUGCAGAGGGGGAGCUGACUGAUGAACCAGAACGACCAAGGGUAAAAGUUGGUGACUGGGUAAGGAUCAAGAUCCACAAGAGAAAGUGGGCUGAUCCCAGGUGGUCUGGACCGUACGAAGUGAAGGAGGUUACUUCACACUCAGUCCAGGUCAAAGGUAAAUCAGGCGCACCUUGGCACCACCUGACUCAUUGUACACCAGCACCAGCACCUGAUAGAACACUGACUGAAGUCAGAAGCGAUUUGAUCGCAUCUAAUUCGGCUACAAAUUCGGCAGGCCCUGACAACUGAAGAAUGUGGAGGCGACUCCAUUCCUCAGGUGACAGGGAGGGGCACCCGUGGGCUAGACGGAACACAACACCAUGGGGCAGGUUAGGGUGCUCUGCUCCAGUAUUUGUGUUAUUUUUAAUCACCUCAGGGUGCGUGGUGGGAAUCAUGCUUUGGGCUAUAGAACACAUGGUUAGUAAUACUGCUAGAAUAAAUGAUAAGGCCUAUUCCACCACGAACACCACUAAUCCACCUCCCAGCCACGUAGAACACAGCCACAUAAUACACAAGCGGAAUAUUGAGUCUAUAGACCGAAAUUGUACCACCGACUCAGUUAGAAGCACUACUCUAUGCGUUCCGAUUAAUAUUACCACCACCACUGUUACGGUGCCAUGGGGAAUGCUGGAGAGCUCAAGUGCUGGUGACAGGGGCAGGACCUUAUGGCAAACCAAAUACCAUUGGUACAUGACCUUAGGGGCGUGAGUGAAUGGUCUUGGAAUAAUCUCGUUGCUGAAACAGGUCCGGACUGGUCAAGUUACUCUAAGGGUAAGAGCGUCUUAUUAUGGCGAAGUAGGCUUACGUUAAUUAAACUACAAGUGGGGUUGAGACUGGUCAUUCCACCAGGCCAGGUGGAAAGUUGUCAAUCCUUUGUUUUGGCUCCAUGGAUGGACACUAGGGGAGCCCCAUUGUAUAUUUACUAUUUUAAAUGGCUGUUGAAUAUCUGUUUUGUGCGAGCACCCAUACCCUCUUCUGCCACUAAAAAGGAUGUUUUGCCCUAAACCAGUAUAUAAUGCUUAAAACCAGAAUAUACUCAUGUACCCAUAUGUUAUUCAUAGCCUAAGUUACAAGCACACACACUGCAGCAAUUAUGUAACCCGCACUGCAGAGACCUUGAAGGUUGGAGAGCAGAGAGGAGAAGUUUUAGAAGGGGAGCCAGGACAGGCAAAGAUAACAGUUACUGAAUGGAGACAAAAGGGAGAAUUGGACAUGUGGAAAAUGAAAGGGGAGCUCCUACAUGAUAAUGUCAGAACAGAAGGAUAAUAUACUAAUCUUACCUAAGUCAUUAUUUAGAGUAGGUAAGGUUGUUACCUGGGCAGAGCCAGGUAUCAAAAGGGGAUGGGUAAAUUGUGGUCUAGGAUAGGAUGGGGCCUAUUGGAUAAGAAACUAAUAAUUUAAAGAAAUGUAGCUAACAAAUGGGCAUAGAAGUUAAAGAUAUAAUCAGAUAAAACAUAUGAGAAAUUGUUUGUUAACCAACCCUGUAUGCCCAGGAUUUUAUGCAUUACAGGUGAACUACAGGUGAAGUCACUCAAUCCAGUCCCAGAGGCUUGUUGGGGGGACCAUACCAAGGACUCCUGGUGACAGCUAGCUGAAAGAGCUACCCAGAUUCAUAUCGCACGGCGGGAGGGUAAAACACAUUGGCACUGUCGAACAAUAAACAGUGUUCGAGAGGAGAACUGGAAUUAACAGAAUUCCGGGGGCCAUCUCUCGAAUGAAGUAACCCUCCCUGUCCUGUCACCCCUGUUUUUGUUCAUAGAAGUGAAGAUGUGUCUGGCUCUUGCUAAGCGAUGUGUUCUCGGGGAGGGUGGGGCUUCAAAUGGAAGCUGUUCGUCUGAGCUAUCGUGGGUGACAUAUUCCUGAUACAGCAAAUCCUACUUGAGUAUGCGGAGAGUGGUAAUUUGACCCAUGGUUUAGACGAUGAGGAUUUUGUUCCAAAAUAAGCAUAAGAUAUCCCUAGAUCUGGGUAGACAGGAAGUUAGAGUAGAGAUUACAUGAUAACCGACUUCGGACAGUUCUAGGAUUGGAGAAGAGGGUAUCCUUAUAGCAUAGGGGAUCCCACAAAGGUGGAUAGGUUUUCCAUGAUAUGGGGAAAACCUGGGAGCACUGUUGAACUCUGUAAAGGUGAUGAAAUCCUACUAACCAUCAAAACUAUUAAGUUCUCUGAUGCAGGCACUUACACCCUCGGACUACAAAGGACGAGGACAGACACGAUGGGUGUGUUUUCUAUUAAGGUGCUGCCAAAACCAGAGGUCCCAGACGAACCAGAGCCAGACACACUCCUCUACCACCCCUGGACCGAACCUGCCACCACUGUGUUAAAAAUACCAUUCAGUAUAUCUAAGGUAUCUGCUGAGAUGAGGACCAUGGCGGGGGUGGAGGAGUCUGGACUGUUCUCUUGGUUGGGAGCCUGGUUUGGUAAGUACACUGGUAUGGUGGUUGCUGGAUUUCUGACCCUAAUUAUUGUAUUUUUGUUUUUGAUGUGUUGUGCUGCUUGCAUCAUACCGUAUUUUAAGAAGUCUGUUACAGAUGUGGUGAAGGCUUCAGGCAUGAUGCCUUUGCUUGAUGCUCCAGUUGGAGAUGCUGAUACUGAAGCAUGCUUUCAGGGGAGGAUGAGACUGACUGAGGAUGACUCAUGUAUGUUUGUUCUCCCUGUUGUGAAGGUUUGGAGUCCCUGGGUGGCAUGGUGCCCACCUGGUGCAGGAUAGGAGUAGCUGGGAGGACCAGAUGGUUUAUAAUAAUGCUUUGCUCUGCUUUACUCUGUUUCCCAGGACCAAAGUUUUAUCCUACAUCUUUACAUGUCAAUAAACAAUAAAGUCUUAUCCUGUUUUUGUCAAAAGGGGAAAAGGGGGAUUGUUGGAUCCUGUAUUUUACAUUAUAGCCAUUACCAUAUAUAUGAUUGAAUAUUAUCUGCUGUUGCCUUGUGUGGAUGUAUGUGUUGUGCAACAUAGCUGACUUGAAACAUUGUUAAAAGUUUCAAGGCCAUGGGCCUUUCUCAUGAUGGAAAAGUAGCAUGAAGACAGGAACUGUUCAAUGAGUUGGGAGGGGGGCACAUUCAGAGCGGGGUGUUGCGAGAACAAGCGGUCUUUUGUUAGAUAACAGGAGCCAGGUGCGAGAUAACGGUAUGGAGCAUGAGAGCCUGGAUGUUCUUCACAAGCAAGUUAUCACAUCUCUUUGGAGAUGUGAAGAGAGGGAAUCACAACUUUUUCCUGCUGGAAAAAGUUUGCUUAUGUGGACAAACAUUUUACUUUUAUUUUGAGCUGUUAUUCUCCGCUCUGUUAAAAUGAGGGUUUUGAGUUCCUAGGUGGCUGGUAGCCAACUUAGUACAUAGUGGGAUUGAAUGGAGGACAUGUAGGUAUUUUAAACCUUGUGACUGUUAUAUGAUUCAUUGCUGAUUUUGUGUUCACACCCUUGGGGUUAUUUGACAUUGUAGCCAUACCAUAUAUAUGAUUAACACAAACUUUUCCUUCUGGGAAAACUUUUCUUUUUGUGUCUGGAUCCAGUUUAGGUUGUGUCACGUCUCUGGGGAGACGUGAAGAGAGGGAUUUGUAAAGAAAUGUUAAUUCUUAUGCAGGUGACCAACUUACUGCUAUUGCCUUGCUGACAACACAUAGCAACGUAUUUUCACAGACUCACUUAAAUCAUCCACAACACUGUCAAAAUAGGAUACAUCCUAGCCACAGGUGCUAGCCUUCAGUUCGGCCACAACAUCCAGUGAGGACACGAACGCACACACAUUACACACUAACUACCGAGGACAUACAGAUAAGACUCCUACACACAUUGGCAGGGAGAAACAGAAUAGGGAGAGACAACCUUGACUUGCAGAGACAAGCACACACACAUAAUCUCCCUCUUAGCUGAACAUUGUGUGACGGGGAACGGCACGACGAGACUCAGAAGGAUGACGCACGGCUCAACAGGACCAAUCCAAGAAGACAACACCUCAACUGUGACCAACCAGAACUUCCAGACUCAACCUACUUUCUGUACUGUAUAUAACAUGCUUGCACUCUGUUAUCGGGGCUUCUUUCUGAUGGUUCCUUAGGAGCCGAAUGAACGGGCCCGUAUACGCUGUACCAGAUAUCUUUACUCUGAAUAAACUGCCACAUGUUAUACCUUUA